Molecule: ribosomal RNA, 116 nt
Filed under: Microcebus murinus (gray mouse lemur)
Lineage: Eukaryota; Metazoa; Chordata; Mammalia; Primates; Cheirogaleidae
Source: RNAcentral
GUCUACGGCCACACCACUCCGAACGCGCCCGAUCUCGUCUGAUCUCGGAAGCUAGGCAGGCUCGGGCCUGGUUAGUACUUGGAUGGGAGACCUCCAUGAGAUCAAUGUUAAAAUCA